AGAGUUUGAUCCUGGCUCAGAACGAACGCUGGCGGCGUGCCUAACACAUGCAAGUCGAGCGCGAAAGUCCCUUCGGGGGCGAGUAGAGCGGCGGACGGGUGAGUAAUACAUAGGUAGUCUACCUUCGAGCUUGGGAUAACCCCGCGAAAGUGGGGCUAAUACCGGAUAAGACCACGCAACCAUGUUGCGGGGUAAAAGGUGGCUUAUUUUUUAAAUGAGCUGUCACUUGAGGAUGAGCCUAUGGCCUAUCAGCUUGUUGGCGGGGUAAGAGCCCACCAAGGCUAUGACGGGUAGCUGGUCUGAGAGGACGACCAGCCACACUGGGACUGAGACACGGCCCAGACUCCUACGGGAGGCAGCAGUGGGGAAUAUUGGGCAAUGGGCGAAAGCCUGACCCAGCGACGCCGCGUGGGCGAUGAAGGCCUUCGGGUUGUAAAGCCCUGUCAUGCGGAAAGAACGACCCUGUGACGCAUACUUACAGGGAGUGACGGUACCGCAGGAGGAAGCACCGGCUAACUCCGUGCCAGCAGCCGCGGUAAUACGGAGGGUGCAAGCGUUGUUCGGAAUUAUUGGGCGUAAAGGGCGCGUAGGCGGUAAUGUAAGUCAGAUGUGAAAUACUCCGGCUCAACCAGAGAAUUGCAUCUGAAACUGCAUAACUAGAGUACAGAAGAGGGAAACGGAAUUCCCGGUGUAGAGGUGAAAUUCGUAGAUAUCGGGAGGAACACCAGUGGCGAAGGCGGUUUCCUGGUCUGAUACUGACGCUGAGGCGCGAAAGCGUGGGGAGCAAACAGGAUUAGAUACCCUGGUAGUCCACGCUGUAAACGGUGAACAGGUAGGUGUGGGAGGGUAAUACCUUCGGUGCGGUAGCUAAAACGUUUAGUGUUCGCCUGGGAAGUUCGUCCGCAGGGCUGAAUCUCAAAAGAAUUGACGGGGGCCCGCACAAGCGGUGGAGCAGGUGGUUUAAUUUGACGCAACGCGAAGAACCUUACGGAAGUCUAACAUACCGAGAACCGUGAUGAAAGUCGGGGGUGCCCCGUAAGGGGAACUUGGACACAGGUGUUACAUGGCUGUCGUCAGCUCGUGCCGUGAGGAGUUGGGUUAAGUCCCGCUACGAGCGCAACCCUCAUCUUUAGUUGCCAUCAUUAAGUUGGGCACCCUAAGGAAACUGCCGCAGUUAAUGCGGAGGAAGGUGGGGAUGACGUCAAGUCCUCAUGGCCCUUAUAUCCAGGGCUACACACGUGCUACAAUGAGCGGCACAAAGGGUCGCAAACCCGCGAGGGGGAGCUAAUCCCAGAAAUCCGCUCCUAGUUCGGAUUGGAGUCUGCAACUCGACUCCAUGAAGCUGGAAUCGCUAGUAAUCGCGGAUCAGCAUGCCGCGGUGAAUACGUUCCCGGGCCUUGUACACACCGCCCGUCA
Molecule: ribosomal RNA, 1416 nt
Filed under: uncultured bacterium
Lineage: Bacteria
Description: bacterial SSU rRNA
Rfam family: Bacterial small subunit ribosomal RNA
Source: RNAcentral